AGAGUUUGAUCAUGGCUCAGGAUGAACGCUAGCGGCAGGCUUAAUACAUGCAAGUCGUGGGGCAGCGGGGGUAGCAAUACCUGCCGGCGACCGGCAAACGGGUGAGGAACAUGUACGCAACCUUCCUUUAACUGGAGAAUAGCCCCUCGAAAGAGGGAUUAAUACUCCGUAAUAUAUUGAUAAGGCAUCUUAUUAAUAUAAUAGCUCCGGCGGUUAAAGAUGGGCGUGCACCUGAUUAGAUAGUUGGCGGGGUAAUGGCCCACCAAGUCUGCGAUCAGUAAUUGGUGUGAGAGCACGACCAGUCACACGGGCACUGAGACACGGGCCCGACUCCUACGGGAGGCAGCAGUAAGGAAUAUUGGUCAAUGGACGCAAGUCUGAACCAGCCAUGCCGCGUGGAGGAUUAAGGCCCUACUGGGUUGUAAACUCCUUUUAUCUGGUAAGAAAUGUCUGCAUACUUGCGACUUGACGGUACCAGAGAAUAAGGCACCGGCUACUCCGUGCCAGCAGCCGCGGUAAUAC
RNAcentral lists this ribosomal RNA (522 nucleotides) under uncultured bacterium. Its description in RNAcentral is "bacterial SSU rRNA". It matches the Rfam family "Bacterial small subunit ribosomal RNA", at positions 8 to 526 of the family's 1533-position model. The record is from RNAcentral.